RNAcentral lists this ribosomal RNA (20 nucleotides) under Botryosphaeria dothidea. RNAcentral's name for it is "partial 28S ribosomal RNA". The record is from RNAcentral. Lineage: Eukaryota; Fungi; Ascomycota; Dothideomycetes; Botryosphaeriales; Botryosphaeriaceae.
UCGGAUCAGGUAGAUCCCUC